AGUGAACGCUGGCGGUAGGCCUAACACAUGCAAGUCGAACGGCAGCACAGUAAGAGCUUGCUCUUACGGGUGGCGAGUGGCGGACGGGUGAGGAAUACAUCGGAAUCUACUUUUUCGUGGGGGAUAACGCAGGGAAACUUACGCUAAUACCGCAUACGACCUACGGGUGAAAGCAGGGGAUCUUCGGACCUUGCGCGAUUGAAUGGGCCGAUGUCGGAUUAGCUAGUUGGCGGGGUAAAGGCCCACCAAGGCGACGAUCCGUAGCUGGUCUGAGAGGAUGAUCAGCCACACUGGAACUGAGACACGGUCCAGACUCCUACGGGAGGCAGCAGUGGGGAAUAUUGGACAAUGGGCGCAAGCCUGAUCCAGCCAUACCGCGUGGGUGAAGAAGGCCUUCGGGUUGUAAAGCCCUUUUGUUGGGAAAGAAAAGCAGCAGGUUAAUACCCCGCUGUUCUGACGGUACCCAAAGAAUAAGCACCGGCUAACUUCGUG
This 492-nucleotide ribosomal RNA is filed under the name uncultured bacterium. Its description in RNAcentral is "partial 16S ribosomal RNA". It matches the Rfam family "Bacterial small subunit ribosomal RNA", at positions 29 to 507 of the family's 1533-position model. The record is from RNAcentral.